AUUGAACGCUGGCGGCAGGCCUAACACAUGCAAGUCGAACGGUAACAGGAAGAAGCUUGCUUCUUUGCUGACGAGUGGCGGACGGGUGAGUAAUGUCUGGGAAACUGCCUGAUGGAGGGGGAUAACUACUGGAAACGGUAGCUAAUACCGCAUAACGUCGCAAGACCAAAGAGGGGGACCUUCGGGCCUCUUGCCAUCGGAUGUGCCCAGAUGGGAUUAGCUAGUAGGUGGGGUAACGGCUCACCUAGGCGACGAUCCAUAGCUGGUCUGAGAGGAUGACCAGCCACACUGGAACUGAGACACGGUCCAGACUCCUACGGGAGGCAGCAGUGGGGAAUAUUGCACAAUGGGCGCAAGCCUGAUGCAGCCAUGCCGCGUGUAUGAAGAAGGCCUUCGGGUUGUAAAGUACUUUCAGCGGGGAGGAAGGGAGUAAAGUUAAUACCUGUGCUCAUUGACGUUACCCGCAGAAGAAGCACCGGCUAACUCCGUG
This 490-nucleotide ribosomal RNA is filed under the name uncultured bacterium. Its description in RNAcentral is "partial 16S ribosomal RNA". It matches the Rfam family "Bacterial small subunit ribosomal RNA", at positions 30 to 507 of the family's 1533-position model. The record is from RNAcentral.